Molecule: ribosomal RNA, 467 nt
Filed under: uncultured bacterium
Lineage: Bacteria
Description: partial 16S ribosomal RNA
Rfam family: Bacterial small subunit ribosomal RNA
Source: RNAcentral
GAUGAACGCUGGCGGCGUGCUUAACACAUGCAAGUCGAACGAUGAUGCCCAGCUUGCUGGGUGGAUUAGUGGCGAACGGGUGAGUAACACGUGAGUAACCUGCCCUUGACUCUGGGAUAAGCCUGGGAAACUGGGUCUAAUACCGGAUACGACCAUCUGGCGCAUGUCAUGGUGGUGGAAAGCUUUUGUGGUUUUGGAUGGACUCGCGGCCUAUCAGCUUGUUGGUGGGGUAAUGGCCUACCAAGGCGACGACGGGUAGCCGGCCUGAGAGGGUGACCGGCCACACUGGGACUGAGACACGGCCCAGACUCCUACGGGAGGCAGCAGUAGGGAAUAUUGCACAAUGGGCGCAAGCCUGAUGCAGCGACGCCGCGUGAGGGAUGACGGCCUUCGGGUUGUAAACCUCUUUCAGUAGGGAAGAAGCGAAAGUGACGGUACCUGCAGAAGAAGCGCCGGCUAACUACGUG